UACGGGGGGGGUAAGCGUUGUUCGGAAUUACUGGGCGUAAAGGGCUCGUAGGCGGCCAACUAAGUCAUACGUGAAAUCCCUCAGAUUAACUGGGGAACUGCGUGUGAUACUGGAUGGCUUGGAUUUGGGAGAGGGAUGCGGAAUUCCAGGUGUAGCGGUGAAAUGCGUAGAUAUCUGGAGGAACACCGGUGGCGAAGGCGGCAUCCUGGACCAAUAUUGACGCUGAGGAGCGAAAGCCAGGGGAGCAAACGGG
This 253-nucleotide ribosomal RNA is filed under the name uncultured bacterium. RNAcentral's name for it is "partial 16S ribosomal RNA". It matches the Rfam family "Bacterial small subunit ribosomal RNA", at positions 524 to 776 of the family's 1533-position model. The record is from RNAcentral.